GAUGAAGAACGCAGCGAAAUGCGAUAAGUAAUGUGAAUUGCAGAAUUCAGUGAAUCAUCGAGUCUUUGAACGCACAUUGCGCCCCCUGGUAUUCCGGGGGGCAUGCCUGUCCGAGCGUCAUUGCUGCCCUUCAAGCCCGGCUUGUGUGUUGGGUCGUCGUCCCCCCCGGGGGACGGGCCCGAAAGGCAGCGGCGGCACCGCGUCCGGUCCUCGAGCGUAUGGGGCUUUGUCACCCGCUCGAUUAGGGCCGGCCGGGCGCCAGCCGGCGUCUCCAACCUUCUAUUUUACCAGGUUGACCUCGGAUCAGGUAGGGAUACCCGCUGAACUUAAGCAUAUCAAUAAGCGGAGGA
This 350-nucleotide unclassified non-coding RNA is filed under the name soil metagenome. RNAcentral describes it as "partial contains 5.8S ribosomal RNA, internal transcribed spacer 2, and large subunit ribosomal RNA". The stretch from base 1 to 120 matches the Rfam family "5.8S ribosomal RNA", at positions 35 to 154 of the family's 154-position model. The record is from RNAcentral.